CCCCAGGACGCGGGGGAGGGGCUGGAUACGCAGGUAUUUUUAUUAAACAGAUUAUUCCUGAAAUAAUAAUACGCGCAAGAUGGCUGAAGGUGGCUGUGAUGAGAGUGUUGGGGUUGGGAUUUUUUUCUUCCUGUUUUUUCUUUUUUGAUCUGAGGAUAAAGCUCUGAGGCGACAGCGGCUGCGGAGACCCUGCCCGAAGCGCCCUCCCCUCCCUUGAGAAGCCGCGGGCAGACAGACGGACCUCGGACCGAGCAACGGGUGCGGGCCCGCCCCGGACGCGUCGCCUGGGCAGCAGCCGGGGACCGCGGGCUCUCGCCUUUCUGCCGACUUCUUCCAAUUCUCAUCUUCUUUUAUUUUUUGGACAGGACCGGGGUGGGUGGAGCAGAGGUGGAGAGAAAUCGGGACUUGGCAUUUUCUCCCUCUCUCUCUCCUAAUUUGUUGGAGGCCGCCAGCCCUCCCCUUGGAAAAAAAAAAAUCCCACCAAAAAAAAAAAAAAAAGAAUCAGGAGCGAGAGGACGCCGCGGGGCCCUCAGCGAGCGCGCCCAGACCCCGGCCGCCGCCGCGGAGCCCAAGAUGGCUGGGCGCUGAGGGUGGCGGCUCGGCCUGGCCCCGCCGCCGCAGGCUGGCUCCGACCGCAGCCCCGAGCCUUCCAGGCCCCAGCAGAGGGGAGGGGAGGGCCGGGAGCCGAGCCUCCUGUUCAUUAGCAGUUGAGAAAAAUUCCUUUCUAGUUUGAUCAAUCCUUGUUUUCCUCGGCAGAGCCCGGGCGCCCGCCCAGCGCGGAGACGGGCGCGCGGGGUCUCUCCGCGGCGGGGGCGCCGGGCCUCGGGGGAGCGCAGAAGUAGCCGCCCGGGGGUCAGGCCGGAGCGCCGCCGGGGCUUCUCCCUCCCUCCCUCGCCGGUUGCCUUUUUUUCCACUUCUCUCCCUCCCCCUUCCGUUUCUAUUUGUGAAGGGAGGAGGAAGGCAGAGGCGGGCUGGUGUCUCUGGCCGGGGACUGGAAUUUCAUCUGAAUGACUGCCCCUGCGCGCACGCAGCGCCCCGGAGUCGGCCCGCCCGCGCCCCGCAGCCCGCGCCCGGCCAGCCAGCCGGGGGACGCCUGCACCGUGGCCCGGGGACCGCCGGCCUGCCCCUCCCGCCCCGUCCGGAUCUAGCAGCCCUCGGCGCGGCCGCCCUCGCCUCCUGGCCCCGCAGACCCCGGGCUCCGGCCCCUGCGAGGGAGGUGCGGCGCCGACGAGCCAGGCAGGAGCCGCCGCUGCCGCCGCCGCCGGAAGAAGUGUGCUGCUCCCAAGCUCCGUCUGCCGCGGGGCGCGCCCCAAUGUCAGCCGCGGGGACGAGCGCAGGCCGCGGGCCGCCACUGCCCUAGCCGCGCCGACGGGGAGGCGGCCUCUUAUAUGGAAUUUGGACCCCGGCGCUCCCCUCCAAGGCUGGAGUCCCGGCCGCGGCCCUGGCGCAGUCCGCCGCCUCCCGCUAGGCGCUCGGGAGGAGGAGGAGACGCAGCCCGCUGCGCGCGCGGCGUGAGGACCGCGGCUCCCUCCUCCGGGGGGCGGGCACGCGGAAGG
Molecule: long non-coding RNA, 1556 nt
Filed under: Homo sapiens (human)
Lineage: Eukaryota; Metazoa; Chordata; Mammalia; Primates; Hominidae
Description: HSALNT0359751
Source: RNAcentral